AUGCGUCUAUAUCACGUUGUAACACCUUUUAGAUCUUCGAAGUUAAGCAUCGUCGAGCCUGAUUAGUAUCGAGAUGGGUGAACGCUUGGGAAUUCCAGGUGGUGGA
Molecule: non-coding RNA, 106 nt
Organism: Acanthosepion pharaonis
Lineage: Eukaryota; Metazoa; Mollusca; Cephalopoda; Sepiida; Sepiidae
Source: the annotation of a GenBank genome assembly